RNAcentral lists this long non-coding RNA (308 nucleotides) under Brassica napus (rape). RNAcentral describes it as "long non-coding RNA (BNAP_LNC010839)". Lineage: Eukaryota; Viridiplantae; Streptophyta; Magnoliopsida; Brassicales; Brassicaceae. The record is from RNAcentral.
UUGAGAUAGGCCUAGAGAAGCUAGAGUGUAAUAAGAGAGUGUGCUCAGGUUGGAUUAGAUGUUGAAUUGAGUGCUAGUUGUGUUUCUUUUGGCUAUGAGCUCCCCACCUUAAAACCUCUCUCCCUAUGAGUUCUAGAAAGUUCACUUGUGGACAAGUAAAAGAACAAGUUUGGGGGAGUUGAUAUCUUGCAUAUUUCCAUUGUCUUAUCCAUUCACUCAUGUGCAUUUUGAUCAUAUAGACUAGGAUUUAGCCACGUUUAGGUUGUAUUUUGCAUACAUGAGUCUUUAUCAGGUGUUGGAGUACCACA